UUUGAAUUUUUAAAAAAUUUAUUUUUUGGUACAGCAACUAAUGGAAUUUUUUUUUGUUUUGAUGAGUUUAAUAGAUUAUCUCUCGAAUCGUUAAGUGUUCUAGCUCAACAGUUAUGUAAUUUAUUUAAUGCUAAGUCAAAAAGGUUUAGUAUUGAUGAGGAUGAUACGGUUACUAAUACAGAACAGCAAGAUACUGAAGUUGUUGGUGACAUAUCUAGGGGUAGUAUUUGUGGUAAAAAAAUAUUAUUAGAAGGAAAAUAUAUAAAUGUAAAUAACGAAUUUAAUAUUUUUAUUACAAUUAAUCCUUAUUAUAAAGGAAGAAGUUCAUUACCGAACAAUGUAAAAGCUUUAUUCCGUUUUUUUAAUUUUGUUAAACCUGAUUAUCAAACAAUUAUACAUGUAUUAUUAUAUGCUAAAGGAUAUAAAUAUAGUAAAUAUUUAUCACGUAAAGUUAUGAUGCUAUUUGAAUUAUGUGAGCAUAAUUUAAGUCCUGAAAGACAUUAUAAAUAUGAUUUGAGAACAGUUAAAAAAAUUAUUUUUAUAAUGGAUAAAAUAACGGAAGAUGAUACAGAAUAUAUUUAUGGCAAUAAUAACUCUAUUAAACGAUGUCGUACCAUUUUUUACGAAUAUAAAAAUUUAUUUAUUGCUAUUAUCGAAUGUAUUAUGCCUUCUAUAAUAAAAAAUGAUAUUUAUAUAUUUAUGAACAUAUUAAAAAAUUUAUUUCACGAAAUGUAUACAUAUAACCAAUCUUUAGAAAAUAGUAGUAACAGUAAAGGGAAUAGUAGUAACAGAUCGAACCAUUUAGAAUUUGGCAUCUAUAAAAGUACAAUUACAAAUGUUACUUCCAUUACGAAUACUAUUGAUGAAAAUAGUAUAACAAAAUAUUUGAAAAGUUUUUAUUCUAAUAUAAGUUCGAGUUAUAACCCAAAUGAAACAACAAAUAAAGGAUUACUCACAAGAGGAAAUAGUAGUAAGUCGUUUGGGAACGAUCAUGAUGGGGAGCAAGAAACCGAAAAUGGUAAGGGAACCAGUUUAAAUAAAAACACAAUGUUAAUACCCACAAAUGAAGAGGAUAAAGCUGGUGUUUUGGGUCAACCCAAAAAAAAAGAUAUAAAUAAUGUCGGUGAUACACACGAAUAUUAUCAUACAGAUAAACAAUUACAAAAUAAUACUAACAAAAACACGAACAAACAGAUACCAUUCGAUUCGUCUAUGCAGAUGCCACUUUCAAGUAACAACACGGAUCUAAUGAAAGAUAAAAAAAAUAAAAAAAAAAAUAAAAAUAAAGAUAAAAAUAAAGAUAAAAAUAAAGAUAAAAAUAAAAUUAAAAAUAAAAAGUUGGUAACGUCUGUGGGAAGUACAAGUGGUACCGUUGACAGUGUAAUGGAAAAAAAAACGGGUGACCAUCUUUUAGUGGAAAAAACAAAAACGGGUGACCCACUAGAUGAGAGGACAACAAAAGGCAAUGAUGACGGUAGUGGUAAUACACAUAAACAGUUUGAUCAAACUUCAGAAGAAGAAAAAAAAAAAAAAAAAGAGAACCUUAGAUAGAACUAAGGAGAAUGUAGAUAACACUUAUGCAAAAGACAGUGGUGAUAGUAGUACAGACAAUAUAAGUGAUAGCAAUAAUACCACCAGUGAAAGUGACCAAGAAAAUUCAGACAUAGAUAUAUACAACGAAAAAAAUAAAAAUAUUGAAAAGUAUUACGAAAAUAUAAAU
This 1720-nucleotide long non-coding RNA is filed under the name Piliocolobus tephrosceles (Ugandan red Colobus). RNAcentral describes it as "lncRNA (ENSPTEG00000002802.1)". The record is from RNAcentral. Lineage: Eukaryota; Metazoa; Chordata; Mammalia; Primates; Cercopithecidae.